Ruditapes philippinarum (Manila clam) is the source of this 358-nucleotide long non-coding RNA. RefSeq lists it as uncharacterized. Lineage: Eukaryota; Metazoa; Mollusca; Bivalvia; Venerida; Veneridae. The record is from RefSeq and is a predicted model, not a curated record. The transcript has 3 exons.
UAACACUAUUUAUAGAUUUAUAUUGUUUGCAGAAUCGGACAAUUGUGAGCGAACUCAUUGUUCAGCAAAUCGCGGCUUCCAUUUGAAUGUAACGGAUAAUGAAAACAGGAAUAUAAUGAGAUUUAUUCGAGAGUUUAAACAGUGCACCGGUUGUAGUUGGUGUGCAGAAGGUUGUUGUAGCAUGGAGAUAGCGGCGGAAUCUCCCUUCGGAUGUAAUCUUGGCAAGAUUGCUCUUGCGAAUUCUAUAUGUGAUACUCAUGUACGGAUAUUUGACAAUAAUGACCGUCAUCUGUACACUGUCUGGGUGCCUUGUUGUUUCUGCCAGGACUGUUGCCAUCCAGCUGAUUUGAUUUUCCCA